UACAGAGGUCUCAAGCGUUGUUCGGAUUCAUUGGGCGUAAAGGGUGCGUAGGUGGCGGGGCCAGUCAGGUGUGAAAUCCCGGGGCUUAACCCUGGAACUGCAUUUGAUACUGCCUUGCUGGAGAACUGGAGAGGAGACUGGAAUUUACGGUGUAGCGGUGAAAUGCGUAGAUAUCGUAAGGAAGACCAGUGGCGAAGGCGGGUCUCUGGACAGUUCCUGACGCUGAGGCACGAAGGCCAGGGAGCAAACGGG
This 252-nucleotide ribosomal RNA is filed under the name uncultured bacterium. RNAcentral's name for it is "partial 16S ribosomal RNA". It matches the Rfam family "Bacterial small subunit ribosomal RNA", at positions 524 to 776 of the family's 1533-position model. The record is from RNAcentral.